GAUGAACGCUAGCUACAGGCUUAACACAUGCAAGUCGCGGGGCAGCAUGGGGGUUGCUUGCAAUCCCCGAUGGCGACCGGCGCACGGGUGAGUAACGCGUAUCCAACCUGCCCUUCACCACGGGAUAACCCGGCGAAAGUCGGACUAAUACCGUAUGUUGUCCAUUGACGGCAUCCGAUUUGGACGAAAGGUUUGGCGGUGAAGGAUGGGGAUGCGUCCGAUUAGCUGGACGGCGGGGUGACGGCCCACCGUGGCGACGAUCGGUAGGGGUUCUGAGAGGAAGGUCCCCCACACUGGAACUGAGACACGGUCCAGACUCCUACGGGAGGCAGCAGUGAGGAAUAUUGGCCAAUGGGCGUAAGCCUGAACCAGCCAAGUAGCGUGCAGGAUGACGGCCCUAUGGGUUGUAAACUGCUUUUAUGCGGGGAUAAAGUGGCCCACGUGUGGGUUUUUGCAGGUACCGCAUGAAUAAGGACCGGCUAAUUCCGUG
Molecule: ribosomal RNA, 490 nt
Filed under: uncultured bacterium
Lineage: Bacteria
Description: partial 16S ribosomal RNA
Rfam family: Bacterial small subunit ribosomal RNA
Source: RNAcentral